Molecule: transfer RNA, 71 nt
Filed under: Bos taurus (domestic cattle)
Lineage: Eukaryota; Metazoa; Chordata; Mammalia; Artiodactyla; Bovidae
Also listed under: 3 other names
Rfam family: tRNA
About the family: Transfer RNA (tRNA) molecules are approximately 80 nucleotides in length. Their secondary structure includes four short double-helical elements and three loops (D, anti-codon, and T loops). Further hydrogen bonds mediate the characteristic L-shaped molecular structure. tRNAs have two regions of fundamental functional importance: the anti-codon, which is responsible for specific mRNA codon recognition, and the 3' end, to which the tRNAs corresponding amino acid is attached (by aminoacyl-tRNA synthetases). tRNAs cope with the degeneracy of the genetic code in two manners: having more than one tRNA (with a specific anti-codon) for a particular amino acid; and 'wobble' base-pairing, i.e. permitting non-standard base-pairing at the 3rd anti-codon position.
Source: Rfam by way of RNAcentral
UCCCUGGUGACUUGAUGGUAAAGAAUCUGCCUGUGAUGCAGGAGACCCAGGUUUGAUCCCUGGGUUAGGAA